GAUGAACGCUGGCGGCGUGCCUAAUACAUGCAAGUCGAGCGAACGGACGAGAAGCUUGCUUCUCUGAUGUUAGCGGCGGACGGGUGAGUAACACGUGGAUAACCUACCUAUAAGACUGGGAUAACUUCGGGAAACCGUAGCUAAUACCGGAUAAUAUUUUGAACCGCAUGGUUCAAAAGUGAAAGACGGUCUUGCUGUCACUUAUAGAUGGAUCCGCGCUGCAUUAGCUAGUUGGUAAGGUAACGGCUUACCAAGGCAACGAUGCAUAGCCGACCUGAGAGGGUGAUCGGCCACACUGGAACUGAGACACGGUCCAGACUCCUACGGGAGGCAGCAGUAGGGAAUCUUCCGCAAUGGGCGAAAGCCUGACGGAGCAACGCCGCGUGAGUGAUGAAGGUCUUCGGAUCGUAAAACUCUGUUAUUAGGGAAGAACAUAUGUGUAAGUAACUGUGCACAUCUUGACGGUACCUAAUCAGAAAGCCACGGCUAACUACGUGCCAGCAGCCGCGGUAAUACGUAGGUGGCAAGCGUUAUCCGGAAUUAUUGGGCGUAAAGCGCGCGUAGCGGUUUUUUAGUCUGAUGUGAAAGCCCACGGCUCAACCGUGGAGGGUCAUUGGAAACUGGAAAACUUGAGUGCAGAAGAGGAAAGUGGAAUUCCAUGUGUAGCGGUGAAAUGCGCAGAGAUAUGGAGGAACACCAGUGGCGAAGGCGACUUUCUGGUCUGUAACUGACGCUGAUGUGCGAAAGCGUGGGGAUCAAACAGGAUUAGAUACCCUGGUAGUCCACGCCGUAAACGAUGAGUGCUAAGUGUUAGGGGGUUUCCGCCCCUUAGUGCUGCAGCUAACGCAUUAAGCACUCCGCCUGGGGAGUACGACCGCAAGGUUGAAACUCAAAGGAAUUGACGGGGACCCGCACAAGCGGUGGAGCAUGUGGUUUAAUUCGAAGCAACGCGAAGAACCUUACCAAAUCUUGACAUCCUUUGACAACUCUAGAGAUAGAGCCUUCCCCUUCGGGGGACAAAGUGACAGGUGGUGCAUGGUUGUCGUCAGCUCGUGUCGUGAGAUGUUGGGUUAAGUCCCGCAACGAGCGCAACCCUUAAGCUUAGUUGCCAUCAUUAAGUUGGGCACUCUAAGUUGACUGCCGGUGACAAACCGGAGGAAGGUGGGGAUGACGUCAAAUCAUCAUGUCCCUUAUGAUUUGGGCUACACACGUGCUACAAUGGACAAUACAAAGGGCAGCGAAACCGCGAGGUCAAGCAAAUCCCAUAAAGUUGUUCUCAGUUCGGAUUGUAGUCUGCAACUCGACUACAUGAAGCUGGAAUCGCUAGUAAUCGUAGAUCAGCAUGGUCCGGUGAAUACGUUCCCGGGUCU
RNAcentral lists this ribosomal RNA (1370 nucleotides) under uncultured bacterium. RNAcentral's name for it is "bacterial SSU rRNA". It matches the Rfam family "Bacterial small subunit ribosomal RNA", at positions 28 to 1381 of the family's 1533-position model. The record is from RNAcentral.